Regulatory RNA element from Sphingomonas sp. Ant20, 117 nucleotides. It matches the Rfam family "ALIL pseudoknot". Lineage: Bacteria; Pseudomonadati; Pseudomonadota; Alphaproteobacteria; Sphingomonadales; Sphingomonadaceae. The record is from Rfam.
GGCAUAUUUUGCGAUGGCGGAGCUCGACCGCCCCGGGCGAUGAAGAUGGCGUUCAUCGACGCGCAUCGGGAGGAGUUGGGAAUCGAGCCGAUCUGCCAGGAACUGGCGGUCGCCCCC